RNAcentral lists this ribosomal RNA (253 nucleotides) under uncultured prokaryote. RNAcentral's name for it is "partial 16S ribosomal RNA". It matches the Rfam family "Bacterial small subunit ribosomal RNA", at positions 524 to 776 of the family's 1533-position model. The record is from RNAcentral.
UACAGAGGUCUCAAGCGUUGUUCGGAUUCAUUGGGCGUAAAGGGUGUGUAGGCGGCGCCGUAAGUCAGGUGUGAAAUCUCGGGGCUUAACUCCGAAACUGCAUUUGAUACUGCGGUGCUUGAGGACUGGAGAGGAGACUGGAAUUUACGGUGUAGCGGUGAAAUGCGUAGAUAUCUGGAGGAAUACCGGUGGCGAAGGCGGCAUCCUGGACCAAUACUGACACUGAAAAGCGAAAGCCAGGGGAGCAAACGGG